GUCUAAGGCCAUACCACCCUGAACACACCCAAUCUCAUCAGAUCUCGGAAGCAAAGCAGGGUCGGGCCUGGUUAGUACUUGGAUGGGAGACCUCUUGGGUGCCGUUGGCUAUAAAAU
Callithrix jacchus (white-tufted-ear marmoset) is the source of this 117-nucleotide ribosomal RNA. The record is from Ensembl. Lineage: Eukaryota; Metazoa; Chordata; Mammalia; Primates; Cebidae.